This is a small nuclear RNA of Oryctolagus cuniculus (rabbit), 107 nucleotides long. NCBI's taxonomy places the organism in Eukaryota, Metazoa, Chordata, Mammalia, Lagomorpha, Leporidae. The record is from Ensembl.
GCUCAUGCUCACUUUGGUAUAUGCUAACAUUGGAAUGCUACAGAGAUGGUUAGCAUGGCCCCUACACAAUGAUGAUGUGAGAUUCAUGAAGGAGGUGAUACAUUCAA